GAGAAGCUUAUCCAUGGCAUUUUAAUCAGUGUCCAGGUGCAUUCCAGCAUUUGCUUACUCCUGCCAGCUGCAGAUUUGCCAGAGUAUUGAGCUGGUCACCUCAUGCUGUAAGCUGUGUUACAGACUGGCAGCGCUAAGAGCUCUGGGCAAAGAAGGUCUGCAAAGCAGAUUCAGUUAAUUUUCUUGAAGAUCUCAGUCUCCAGCACCUGAGGAGUUUGCUCUGGGGGAAAAAAAAAAAAAAGAGAAAUCAUAUUUGAAGGCCUGCUCAGCUCCUUUAUUGGAAAGCUGGAUCUCAGUGUAUCCUUCAGGGCUUGUCCUCCCUCAGGAGAGGGGAGGUAGAGCUGUCCCCCCCCUGCCCCUGCUGCGAUGGUCUCUGGUCCUUGCAGAGCUGCAGCUGUACAAUCUGCUGAAGACAUCCCUGUUCAUCCCUGAGGACAUCCCUGCACACAGACAGGGCUGAGCAGCCUGCCCCGCAGUGAGGCUGCACUGCCACGUCUCUGGUGAGCUGCUGGCCAUCUUGGUGCUAUCACUCUUAUUUCCAAAUUAUUGAACACUGGACCCUGGCAGUGUGGCCCACAAAGCUCACUCCUCUCUGCCCCAGCCAAGCUUUCUAAUGAAAAUGUUGGAUAUUUGAAACUGCUAAACUUAGAGACAUUGAAAUUUGAAGGGGAGGUGAGUUGACACAAAUCAAUGCACACUCUCCUCCCUGUAGACUGCUGUCAUCUCUGAUGGCCUGGAGACACCUCUGCCUGUCUCCUCUGAUGGUCUUUCAGCCCUGGAGCCCAGGCUCAGUAACUGGGUUGGCUGUACAGGGCGGGAGAGGUUUUCCAACCCUGCAAAGUUAAAGCAGCACCAGUUCCCUGGCUGAGUUGUUUAUUCCUGGAGUUCUGUAGCUACACCAGGAAAAUGUUUUACCUUCCUCACUCUUGAAAAUCUUUGACAGGCCUGAGAUGACCUCUAAAGAGAUGUUUCUUCUUUGCACAAAGGCCAAACAGACGGGGGGGUUGCACAGAGCUGUGACAUCUAGAGCUGGUGGUGGCACUGGGGUGAGUGAGAACGAGCCCAGAAGGGGUUCUGGACUUGCUGGUCAUGGCCACAGAGCCAGGGUGCAACAAAGCACUUGGUCAGGCUAUCCUGGAAGCAAAAAAGGAGACCUUGCUCACUUUUUUUUUUUUUUUUUAACUUUAAACGUGUCCACUGUGGUGCAGAUGGAGAAAUUGCCAAUUCCAGAUCUCAGGAGUAGUUGUAUCAGCCCCAGCUAUCAGGUUGUCCCAGUGAAAGGUUUUGCACAUAGGAGAAGUUCAUACAAAUAAACCACUGAGUCUUCUGGUUCAGGACCAUGGGGAUUUCCCUCUCCACAGCACAGGAAGGCCACAGACACACGAAGCUUUUGUUUUGACCCAUGAUGAACUGGCAAGAGGCUACACCCUAAAUAUACAUGUAGAACCAUGCACUCACCAUACAUCCCCUGCCAUCCUCCAGAAGUUGUCCAGGCAUUUCAGAGUGGUACUGAGACAGCGAUGGACGAGAGCAGCUCUGCUUUCCCCUCCACAGCCCAGUCAGCUUCAGUGAUCCUGCUGGGAUGUCUCCAUCAGGGCAUGGUAAACAUAGGCAAGGCCUGAACAACACACUUCCCCCAAACAAGAAAUGUUAAACAAUGUCUCUGCCUCCCCAUUGUUUUCCUAACUCAAGGAAUUUCCUUUGUUGUAACUGUGACCUAUAAAGUGGCGCUUUAGAGGGUUUUAUAAUAAAAUGUCGAGUAUA
Molecule: long non-coding RNA, 1764 nt
Organism: Empidonax traillii (willow flycatcher)
Lineage: Eukaryota; Metazoa; Chordata; Aves; Passeriformes; Tyrannidae
Exons: 2
Source: RefSeq, a predicted model, not a curated record